RNAcentral lists this ribosomal RNA (465 nucleotides) under uncultured bacterium. RNAcentral's name for it is "partial 16S ribosomal RNA". It matches the Rfam family "Bacterial small subunit ribosomal RNA", at positions 338 to 795 of the family's 1533-position model. The record is from RNAcentral.
CCUACGGGAGGCAGCAGUAGGGAAUCUUCCACAAUGGGCGAAAGCCUGAUGGAGCAACGCCGCGUGAGUGAAGAAGGUCUUCGGAUCGUAAAACCCUGUUGUUAGGGAAGCAAGUGCGUGAGAGUAACUGUGCACGUGUCUACGGUAUCUAACCAGAAAGCCACGGCUAACUCCGUGCCAGCAGCCGCGGUAAUACGUAGGUGGCAAGCGUUGUUCGGUUUUGUUGGGCGUAAAGGGAACGCAGGCGGUCUGUUAAGUCUAAUGUGAAAGCCUUCGGCUUAACCGGAGUAGUGCAUUUGAAACUGGGAGACUUGAGUGUGGACGAGGAGAGUGGAACUCCAGGUGUAGCGGUGAAAUGCGUAGAUAUAUGGAAGAACACCAGUGGCGAAGGCGUCGUUCUGGUCUAUAACUGACGCUGAGGUUCGAAAGCGUGGGUAGCAAACAGGAUUAGAUACCCGAGUAGUC